GCUGUGUAGCUUAAAUAAAGCAUAACACUGAAGGAUGUU
This 39-nucleotide transfer RNA is filed under the name Serrasalmus rhombeus (redeye piranha). RNAcentral describes it as "partial tRNA-Phe". Lineage: Eukaryota; Metazoa; Chordata; Actinopteri; Characiformes; Serrasalmidae. The record is from RNAcentral.